AGGUGGUCAGGUAGAGAAUACCGAGGCGUUCGGGUGAACUAUGGUUAAGGAACUCGGCAAAAUAGCCCCCGUAACUUCGGGACGAAGGGGGGCCGACAGUCUGGUGAUGAGCUUUGCGCUCUGAGCUGGGGGUGGCCGCAGAGACCAGCGAGAAGCGACUGUUUACUAAAAAACACAGGUCCGUGCGAAGCCGUAAGGCGAUGUAUACGGACUGACGCCUGCCCGGUGCUGGAACGUUAAGGGGACCGGUUAGCUCCAUUUCGGUGGGGCGAAGCUGAGAACUUAAGCGCCAGUAAACGGCGGUGGUAACUAUAACCAUCCUAAGGUAGCGAAAUUCCUUGUCGGGUAAGUUCCGACCUGCACGAAUGGCGUAACGACUU
This 380-nucleotide non-coding RNA is filed under the name Streptomyces afghaniensis 772. RNAcentral describes it as "Bacterial large subunit ribosomal RNA". It matches the Rfam family "Bacterial large subunit ribosomal RNA", at positions 1661 to 2010 of the family's 2925-position model. The record is from Rfam by way of RNAcentral. Lineage: Bacteria; Bacillati; Actinomycetota; Actinomycetes; Kitasatosporales; Streptomycetaceae.